GAGGGUAUAGCUCAAGUGGUAGAGCACAUGCUUAGCAUACAUGAGGUCCUGGGUUCAAUCCCCAGUACCUCCU
This 73-nucleotide transfer RNA is filed under the name Camelus bactrianus (Bactrian camel). It matches the Rfam family "tRNA". Rfam says of the family: Transfer RNA (tRNA) molecules are approximately 80 nucleotides in length. Their secondary structure includes four short double-helical elements and three loops (D, anti-codon, and T loops). Further hydrogen bonds mediate the characteristic L-shaped molecular structure. tRNAs have two regions of fundamental functional importance: the anti-codon, which is responsible for specific mRNA codon recognition, and the 3' end, to which the tRNAs corresponding amino acid is attached (by aminoacyl-tRNA synthetases). tRNAs cope with the degeneracy of the genetic code in two manners: having more than one tRNA (with a specific anti-codon) for a particular amino acid; and 'wobble' base-pairing, i.e. permitting non-standard base-pairing at the 3rd anti-codon position. The record is from Rfam by way of RNAcentral. Lineage: Eukaryota; Metazoa; Chordata; Mammalia; Artiodactyla; Camelidae. RNAcentral also lists the same sequence under 3 other names.